This 770-nucleotide ribosomal RNA is filed under the name uncultured eukaryote. Its description in RNAcentral is "SSU rRNA". It matches the Rfam family "Eukaryotic small subunit ribosomal RNA", at positions 21 to 788 of the family's 1831-position model. The record is from RNAcentral.
UAGUCAUACGCUCGUCUCAAAGAUUAAGCCAUGCACGUCUAAGUACAAGCACUUGUAUUGUGAAACUGCGAAUGGCUCAUUAUAUCAGUUAUAGUUUAUUUGAUAGAUUUCUACUACAUGGAUAACCGUAGUAAUUCUAGAGCUAAUACAUGCUACAAUGCCCAACUUUUUGGACGGGCAGUAUUUAUUAGAUAGAAACCAAUGCAGGGUUCUCCCUGGUGUUGUGGUGAAUCAUGAUAACUUAGCGAAUCGCAGUGACUUUGUCGGCGAUGAAUCAUUCAAGUUUCUGCCCUAUCAGCUGUCGAUGGUAGGGUAUUGGCCUACCAUGGCGUUAACGGGUGACGGAGAAUUAGGGUUCGAUUCCGGAGAGGGAGCCUGAGAGAUGGCUACCACAUCCAAGGAAGGCAGCAGGCGCGUAAAUUACCCAAUCCUGAUACGGGGAGGUAGUGACAAGAAAUAACAGUACGGGGCCUAUUAGGUCUUGUAAUUGGAAUGAGUACAAUGUAAAACCCUUAACGAGGAUCAAUUGGAGGGCAAGUCUGGUGCCAGCAGCCGCGGUAAUUCCAGCUCCAAUAGCGUAUAUUAAAGUUGUUGCAGUUAAAAAGCUCGUAGUUGGAUUUCUGGUAGGAGCGACCAUACCGAGCUUGAUUGUUUGUGUAAUGUGUUGCCUCCAGCCCAUCCUCGUGGAGAUUGUUUCUGGCAUUAAUUUGUUGGGAAAUAGGACCCGCGUCGUUUACUGUGAAAAAAUUAGAGUGUUCAAAGCAGGCAAU